CCGGCGGGCGGCUAGGACGUUGGUGUCCGGUGUUCCUCGAACACCGCCGACCGCGCGGUCCCUUCGCGCUCGGGCGGUUCCGGGUCCAUCCCGCCGCG
RNAcentral lists this transfer RNA (98 nucleotides) under Phytomonospora endophytica. RNAcentral describes it as "tRNA-Glu". Lineage: Bacteria; Bacillati; Actinomycetota; Actinomycetes; Micromonosporales; Micromonosporaceae. The record is from RNAcentral.